GAUGAACGCUGGCGGCGUGCCUAAUACAUGCAAGUCGAGCGAACAGACGAGGAGCUUGCUCCUCUGACGUUAGCGGCGGACGGGUGAGUAACACGUGGAUAACCUACCUAUAAGACUGGGAUAACUUCGGGAAACCGGAGCUAAUACCGGAUAAUAUAUUGAACCGCAUGGUUCAAUAGUGAAAGACGGUUUUGCUGUCACUUAUAGAUGGAUCCGCGCCGCAUUAGCUAGUUGGUAAGGUAACGGCUUACCAAGGCAACGAUGCGUAGCCGACCUGAGAGGGUGAUCGGCCACACUGGAACUGAGACACGGUCCAGACUCCUACGGGAGGCAGCAGUAGGGAAUCUUCCGAAAUGGGCGAAAGCCUGACGGAGCAACGCCGCGUGAGUGAUGAAGGUCUUCGGAUCGUAAAACUCUGUUAUUAGGGAAGAACAAAUGUGUAAGUAACUAUGCACGUCUUGACGGUACCCAAUCAGAAAGCCACGGCUAACUACGUG
This 497-nucleotide ribosomal RNA is filed under the name uncultured bacterium. RNAcentral describes it as "partial 16S ribosomal RNA". It matches the Rfam family "Bacterial small subunit ribosomal RNA", at positions 28 to 507 of the family's 1533-position model. The record is from RNAcentral.